AUUGAACGCUGGCGGCAGGCCUAACACAUGCAAGUCGAGCGGAUGAAGGGAGCUUGCUCCUGGAUUCAGCGGCGGACGGGUGAGUAAUGCAUAGGAAUAUGCCUGGUAGUGGGGGAUAACGUCCGGAGACGGGCGCUACUACCGCAUACGUCCUGAGGGUGAAAGAGGGGGAUCUUCGGACCUCACGCUAUCAGAUGAGCCUAGGCCGGAUUAGCUAGUUGGUGGGGUAAAGGCCUACCAAGGCGACGAUCCGUAACUGGUCUGAGAGGAUGAUCAGUCACACUGGAACGGGAACACGGACCAGACGCCUACGGGAGGCAGCAGUGUGGAAUAUUGGACAAUGGUCGAAAGCCUGAUCCAGCCAUGCCGCGUGUGUGAAGAAGGUCUUCGGAUUGUAAAGCACGUUAAGGUGGGAGGAAGGGCAGUAAGUUAAUACCUUGCUGGUGUGACGUUACCGACAGAAUAAGCACCGGCUAACUUCGUG
Molecule: ribosomal RNA, 484 nt
Filed under: uncultured bacterium
Lineage: Bacteria
Description: partial 16S ribosomal RNA
Rfam family: Bacterial small subunit ribosomal RNA
Source: RNAcentral